RNAcentral lists this ribosomal RNA (465 nucleotides) under Vreelandella stevensii. Its description in RNAcentral is "partial 16S ribosomal RNA". It matches the Rfam family "Bacterial small subunit ribosomal RNA", at positions 338 to 795 of the family's 1533-position model. Lineage: Bacteria; Pseudomonadati; Pseudomonadota; Gammaproteobacteria; Oceanospirillales; Halomonadaceae. The record is from RNAcentral.
CCUACGGGAGGCAGCAGUGGGGAAUAUUGGACAAUGGGCGAAAGCCUGAUCCAGCCAUGCCGCGUGUGUGAAGAAGGCCUUCGGGUUGUAAAGCACUUUCAGUGGGGAAGAAAGCCUUGGGGCUAAUACCCUCGAGGAAGGACAUCACCCACAGAAGAAGCACAGGCUAACUCCGUGCCAGCAGCCGCGGUAAUACGGAGGGUGCGAGCGUUAAUCGGAAUUACUGGGCGUAAAGCGCGCGUAGGCGGUCUGAUAAGCCGGUUGUGAAAGCCCCGGGCUCAACCUGGGAACGGCAUCCGGAACUGUCAGGCUAGAGUGCAGGAGAGGAAGGUAGAAUUCCCGGUGUAGCGGUGAAAUGCGUAGAGAUCGGGAGGAAUACCAGUGGCGAAGGCGGCCUUCUGGACUGACACUGACGCUGAGGUGCGAAAGCGUGGGUAGCAAACAGGAUUAGAUACCCCAGUAGUC